This 818-nucleotide long non-coding RNA is filed under the name Trifolium pratense (red clover). Its description in RNAcentral is "long non-coding RNA (TPRA_LNC005358)". Lineage: Eukaryota; Viridiplantae; Streptophyta; Magnoliopsida; Fabales; Fabaceae. The record is from RNAcentral.
CUGUUUUUUUUGUGCCUCUGGUAUGCAAUUAUGUGCUUUCUGUCGCCUCUUGGUAUAUAGCUAUUUGGGUGGUGUUUAUCUCUGCAUUGGAUAAUUUGUGACUACGGAAGGUUUGGUUUUUUAGUGUUUAUUUGCCGAGUUGUGGUAAUUAUUGGAAUUGUUAGGCAGUCAUAGUCAACACUGUGUUUCUUUUAGACAUAUAUAAUAGAAAUUCUUAUAGUAGUUAACUUAAUGUAAUUAUAUCGGCUGUUGUAAUAAUGUUAACUUAAUGGAAAAAAGAGGUUGACUCCUACUUUCUCACGUGAAUNNNNNNNNNNNNNNNNNNNNNNNNNNUGCAUCUAUUCAAGGUCUAAUUAGUUUUUAUUUUUGGCUAGCUAGUUAUCUUUCUAAUUAGAACAUCUUGAUGAUUUAGGUUUCUCCUCUUCCUUUUAAAGUCAUUGAGAAAGUGUUAAAGGAUAAUCUCAAACCCGAUUUCUCUAAGAUGUAAGUUGCACUCACUAACUGAAUUUUGAUUUUAUGAACCCUCAAUCUUUCAUUGUUAUCUUAUAUGAGCUUGUUUCUGUUAAUAUUUUGGUAUAUUUUCUAUUCAUAUAUAUGGUUCCUUACUUAAAAUAGAGUUUCCUUGAAUCAAGCUAAUAAUUUCAAUUAUGUUUUAGGUUGUUUCAAGUGAUUUUAAUUUACUUUAAGGAAUUAGUGUCCGUAGAUUCUCUCUAUCCAUUGUCAAUUAAUUGAUAUUAGAGCUUUUGGUUGAUAGUUACUUUAUGUUUUUCCCCUUUCCUUUUUAUUCUAUUAUGUUAAUUAUUUUUGUUUUUGAUUAG